ACAAGGGGGCCAAAACAGACUUCACAGCAGAAACAUCCAAACUUCUAGCUUUUGGCAAGACUAGCAAAGAAAGGGGAAUUUAACUAUCUGCCACUAUUAUAAGUGGCUACUCUUCAAUUGCCACUUUUACAAUUGCUCUUACGUAUUUUCCACCGGAGAGAGGUAAUUUUCUAAUUUUAUGUCAUUUUUGCUGAGAUGGCAUGACAGAUAAAGUAUGCCAGCAUGACACAAUAUGUGAAAAGUCUAUUAUGCCCCUAGGGUCAUCUUCUUCCUCCAGCUUCUCCUCCCAAUCUGCCGGACUGCUAGCAUCAGCAAUUAAUCAAGUAUCCAAUCCAAUCCUUUCCACACAUCAACGCCAUAGGUAAGUCAUUAUCUCCUCUUCUUGUUUCACUUGUCCAAUAUUACUGAAUAUAACAAUCUUUUUUCUUCGCCGUGGAUGUGUUUUGUCCGAAUGUUACUGCACAUAAAGUCCAGAACCUUGCAUCGUUCCAAUUGAUCAACAAAUCAAUCUCUUGAAAGAUAAAAACAUCAAGAACUCGAUUUAGCACAUCCAAUAUUUGUUUUACAUGCCAUAUUUGAGAAGCAAAGCAACGACAGGUGGUUGACAUCACAGUUACAUAUUACGAUGCUGGACAGGACAAUGAAAGUGAACCUGCUCUUCAUGAUGAACUUGCUCUGGACAGGACAAUGCUACGUCUUUCUAGGG
Molecule: long non-coding RNA, 706 nt
Filed under: Oryza brachyantha (malo sina)
Lineage: Eukaryota; Viridiplantae; Streptophyta; Magnoliopsida; Poales; Poaceae
Description: long non-coding RNA (OBRA_LNC000811)
Source: RNAcentral